Molecule: ribosomal RNA, 1358 nt
Filed under: uncultured bacterium
Lineage: Bacteria
Description: bacterial SSU rRNA
Rfam family: Bacterial small subunit ribosomal RNA
Source: RNAcentral
GAUGAACGCUAGCUACAGGCUUAACACAUGCAAGUCGAGGGGCAGCAUGGUCUUAGCUUGCUAAGGCCGAUGGCGACCGGCGCACGGGUGAGUAACACGUAUCCAACCUGCCGUCUACUCUUGGACAGUCUUCUGAAAGGAAGAUUAAUACAAGAUGGCAUCAUGAGUCCGCAUGUUCACAUGAUUAAAGGUAUUCCGGUAGACGAUGGGGAUGCGUUCCAUUAGAUAGUAGGCGGGGUAACGGCCCACCUAGUCUUCGAUGGAUAGGGGUUCUGAGAGGAAGGUCCCCCACAUUGGAACUGAGACACGGUCCAAACUCCUACGGGAGGCAGCAGUGAGGAAUAUUGGUCAAUGGGCGAGAGCCUGAACCAGCCAAGUAGCGUGAAGGAUGACUGCCCUAUGGGUUGUAAACUUCUUUUAUAAAGGAAUAAAGUCGGGUAUGCAUACCCGUUUGCAUGUACUUUAUGAAUAAGGAUCGGCUAACUCCGUGCCAGCAGCCGCGGUAAUACGGAGGAUCCGAGCGUUAUCCGGAUUUAUUGGGUUUAAAGGGAGCGUAGAUGGAUGUUUAAGUCAGUUGUGAAAGUUUGCGGCUCAACCGUAAAAUUGCAGUUGAUACUGGAUAUCUUGAGUGCAGUUGAGGCAGGCGGAAUUCGUGGUGUAGCGGUGAAAUGCUUAGAUAUCACGAAGAACUCCGAUUGCGAAGGCAGCCUGCUAAGCUGCAACUGACAUUGAGGCUCGAAAGUGUGGGUAUCAAACAGGAUUAGAUACCCUGGUAGUCCACACGGUAAACGAUGAAUACUCGCUGUUUGCGAUAUACAGCAAGCGGCCAAGCGAAAGCGUUAAGUAUUCCACCUGGGGAGUACGCCGGCAACGGUGAAACUCAAAGGAAUUGACGGGGGCCCGCACAAGCGGAGGAACAUGUGGUUUAAUUCGAUGAUACGCGAGGAACCUUACCCGGGCUUAAAUUGCAGAUGAAUUACGGUGAAAGCCGUAAGCCGCAAGGCAUCUGUGAAGGUGCUGCAUGGUUGUCGUCAGCUCGUGCCGUGAGGUGUCGGCUUAAGUGCCAUAACGAGCGCAACCCUUGUUGUCAGUUACUAACAGGUUCCGCUGAGGACUCUGACAAGACUGCCAUCGUAAGAUGUGAGGAAGGUGGGGAUGACGUCAAAUCAGCACGGCCCUUACGUCCGGGGCUACACACGUGUUACAAUGGGGGGUACAGAGGGCCGCUACCACGCGAGUGGAUGCCAAUCCCAAAAACCUCUCUCAGUUCGGACUGGAGUCUGCAACCCGACUCCACGAAGCUGGAUUCGCUAGUAAUCGCGCAUCAGCCACGGCGCGGUGAAUACGUUCCCGGGCCU